This 322-nucleotide ribosomal RNA is filed under the name uncultured eukaryote. RNAcentral describes it as "partial 18S ribosomal RNA". It matches the Rfam family "Eukaryotic small subunit ribosomal RNA", at positions 1470 to 1796 of the family's 1831-position model. The record is from RNAcentral.
CCCUUAGAUGUUCUGGGCUGCACGCGCGCUACACUGAAGCGUUCAACGAGUAUUCACCUUGCCCGGGAGGGUUGGGUAAUCUUUUGAAAACGCUUCGUGAUGGGGAUAGAUUAUUGCAAUUAUUAAUCUUCAACGAGGAAUUCCUAGUAAGCGCGAGUCAUCAGCUCGUGCUGAUUACGUCCCUGCCCUUUGUACACACCGCCCGCCGCACCUACCGAUUGAAUGGUCCGGUGAAAUCUUCGGACCGGGCGGUAGUCAGCAAUGACCGUUGCCUGGAAAGUUGCUUAAACCUUACCAUUUAGAGGAAGGUGAAGUCGUAACA